This 1761-nucleotide long non-coding RNA is filed under the name Macaca fascicularis (crab-eating macaque). Its description in RNAcentral is "lncRNA (ENSMFAG00000048776.1)". The record is from RNAcentral. Lineage: Eukaryota; Metazoa; Chordata; Mammalia; Primates; Cercopithecidae.
UUUUUUUUUUUUUGGAGGUGGAGUCUCACUCUGUCUCCCAGGCUGGAGUGCAGUGGCAUGAUCUUGGCUCACUGCAACCUCAGCCUCCCAGAUUCAAGCAAUUCUUUUACCUCAGCCUCCUGAGUAGCUGGAACUACAUGCGCACACCGCCAACCCUCGCUAAUUUUUUUUUUUUUUUUUGUAUUUUAAUAGAGAAGGGGUUUCAUCAUGUUGCACAGGCUGGUCUCGAAGUCCUUAGCUCAGGCAAUCUGCCCGCCUUAGCCUCCCAUAGUGCUAGGAUUACAGGCAUGAGCCACCACACCUGGCCUAUCACAACUUUUUAAAAGUGAAAAGAUAUGUACAUAGAAAUAUUCCUUACAUUUGUAUCUACAUUAUUAAAAACUGCAAACCAGCUGAAGUAUAAAUGGGGAAACAGUUUAACACACAUCAGUAAGACUGAAACUUGUUUAUGCUAAGACAGAAAAUAUAAAAUGAUGUGCGCUAGGAGAAUAACUAUUAAAUACAUGCCAAUUGGCCCAGUGUGGUGGCUCAUGUCCUCUAAUGCCAGCACUUUGGGAGGCCGAGGCGGGUGGAUCACCUGAGGUCAAGUGUUCGAGACCAGCCUGGCCAACAUGGUGAAACCCCAUCUCUAAUAAAAAUACAAAAAUUAGCUGGGUAUGAUGCUGGGUGCCUGUAGUCCCAGCUACUGGGGAGGCUGAGGCAGGAGAAUUGCUUGAACUCAGGAGGUGGAGGUUGUAGUGAGGCGAGAUGGUGCCACGGCACUCCAGCCUGGGCAACAGAGAGACACUCCAUUUCAAAAAAAAAAAAAAAUUUAUUGCCCAGAUCAACAAACUAAUUUUGUGCCAGUUGCCUUAAUGAAGAUAAAAUAAAUGAAAUAAACUACUAAAUUAAGUGCAAAGGAGCAGAAAAUCUAUUAAUUUGGUGAUUUUAUUAAGAAUGAUGAUAGCUAAUAUUCAUGGUGAGCUUGUUAUAAGCCACAUCCUAUCCUAAAUGUCUUACUUGUUUUAACUUCAUCCUCCCAACACUUCUGUGAGAUUGAUUCUAAAAUUCUCUUCACUUAGAAACAACUGGGGCCUAGAGAGGAGAUUUCUCUGUGCCAUGUGAUGCUGUUUCGUAGCAUUUUGCCCCCCAGUAGAGCUUCUUUCAAAAUUGGGGUCAAUCCUCUCAAAUCCCUUUGCUGCUUUAUCUACUAAGUUUCUACACGCUUCUGAAUCCUUUGUUGUCAUUUCAACAAUGUUUACAGCAUCCUCACCAGUGGAACCCAUCUCAGGAAACCACUUUCUUUGCUUAUCUGUUAAAAUCAGCUCCUCACCUGUUCACGUUUUAUCAUGAGAUUGUUGCAAUUUGGUCACAUCUUCAGGCUCCACUUCUCAUUCUAGUUCUCUUGUGAGUUCUGCCACAUCUGUGGUUGCUUUCUCCACUGAAGGCUUGAGCCCCUCAAAGUCAUCCAGGGUGGUUGGAAUCAAUUUCUUCCAAACUCCUGUUAAUGUUGCUAUUCUGACCUCCUCAUGAAUGUUCUUAAUGGCAUCUAGAAUGGUGACUCCUUUCCACAACGCUUUCCAUUUACUUUGCACAGAUCCAUCAGAAGAAUCACUAUCUAUGGCAGCUUUAGCCUCACAAAAUGUAUUUCUUAACUAAGAAGACUUGAAAGUCAAAAUCACUCCUCGAACCACGGGCUUCGGAAUGCAUGUUGUGUUGGCAGCGUGAAAACAGUAUUCCUCUCCUUGUGCAUCUCCACCAGAGAUCUUGAGGAGCCAGGUG